CAAGUCGAACGGAAAGGCCUUUUCGGAGGUACUCGAGUGGCGAACGGGUGAGUAACACGUGGGUGAUCUGCCCUGCACUCUGGGAUAAGCCUGGGAAACUGGGUCUAAUACCGGAUAGGACCGCACUUUAGUGUGUGUGGUGGAAAGUUUUUUCGGUGUAGGAUGAGCCCGCGGCCUAUCAGCUUGUUGGUGGGGUAAUGGCCUACCAAGGCGGCGACGGGUAGCCGGACUGAGAGGUUGGUCGGCCACAUUGGGACUGAGAUACGGCCCAGACUCCUACGGGAGGCAGCAGUGGGGAAUAUUGCACAAUGGGCGCAAGCCUGAUGCAGCGACGCCGCGUGGGGGAUGACGGCCUUCGGGUUGUAAACUCCUUUCGCCAGGGACGAAGCGUUUUGUGACGGUACCUGGAGAAGAAGCACCGGCUAACUACGUGCCAGCAGCCGCGGUAAUACGUAGGGUGCAAGCGUUGUCCGGAAUUACUGGGCGUAAAGGGCUCGUAGGUGGUUUGUCGCGUCGUCUGUGAAAUUCUGGGGCUUAACUCCGGGCGUGCAGGCGAUACGGGCAUAACUUGAGUGCUGUAGGGGUAACUGGAAUUCCUGGUGUAGCGGUGAAAUGCGCAGAUAUCAGGAGGAACACCGAUGGCGAAGGCAGGUUAC
Molecule: ribosomal RNA, 656 nt
Filed under: uncultured Actinomycetales bacterium
Lineage: Bacteria; Bacillati; Actinomycetota; Actinomycetes; Actinomycetales
Description: bacterial SSU rRNA
Rfam family: Bacterial small subunit ribosomal RNA
Source: RNAcentral